CGAUCUAUAAUUUUUGAUAUCACAAAGAAAUCAAUAGAGCCAGAGGUGCUUUUGUAUGAUGAGCCAACUGCUGGACUUGAUCCAAUUGCAUCGACUGUAGUUGAAGAUCUUAUUCGUUCUGUCCAUAUGAUAGGAGAGGAUGCACUGGGGAAGCCAGGGAAAAUUGCAUCUUAUGUGGUUGUUACUCAUCAGCAUAGUACCAUUAGGAGGGCUGUUGACAGGUUGUUGUUUCUUUAUAAAGGAAAGAUCGUUUGGCAAGGGAUGACUCAUGAAUUCACCACAUCAAGCAAUCCAAUUGUUCAACAGUUUGCAUCAG
RNAcentral lists this unclassified non-coding RNA (316 nucleotides) under Hevea brasiliensis (rubber tree). Lineage: Eukaryota; Viridiplantae; Streptophyta; Magnoliopsida; Malpighiales; Euphorbiaceae. The record is from RNAcentral.